AAGAAAGUAAAUAAGGGCGCAUGGCGGAUGCCUUGGCUCUCGGAGGCGAUGAAGGACGUGAUAAGCUGCGAUAAGCUUCGGGUAGGUGCAAAUGACCUUUGAUCCGAAGAUUUCCGAAUGGGACAACCCGGCAUUCUGAAGGAAUGUCAUCCAACUUGGUUGGAGGCUAACGCAGGGAACUGAAACAUCUUAGUACCUGCAGGAAAAGAAAAUAAAUAAUGAUUCCCCUAGUAGUGGCGAGCGAACGGGGAUUAGCCCAAACCACCCAUGUUACGGCAUGUGUGGGGUUGUAGGACCACGCUCUCGCAAGACAGUUAUUGAGAAGAAACGACUGGAAAGUCGUGCCAUAGACGGUGAUAGCCCGGUAUUCUAAGGUAACCGAAGCGUAGUGGUAUCCUGAGUAGCGCGGAGCACGAGGAAUUCUGCGUGAAUCAGCCGGGACCAUCCGGUAAGGCUAAAUACUCCCGAGAGACCGAUAGCGAACCAGUACUGUGAAGGAAAGGUGAAAAGCACUUCGAAUAGAAGAGUGAAAUAGUCCCUGAAACCAUGCGCCUACAAGCGGUCGGAGCAGCUUAAGUUGUGACGGCGUGCCUUUUGCAUAAUGAACCUACGAGUUACUUUUUCCGGCAAGGUUAAGCAUCUUGAGAUGCGGAUCCGAAGCGAAAGCGAGUCUGAACAGGGCGGAUAGUCGGAAGGAGUAGACGCGAAACCAAGUGAUCUACCCUUGGGCAGGUUGAAGGUUAGGUAACACUAACUGGAGGACCGAACCGAUAAGCGUUGAAAAGCUUCCGGAUGACCUGAGGGUGGGGGUGAAAGGCUAAUCAAACUUGGAGAUAGCUCGUACUCCCCGAAAUGCAUUUAGGUGCAGCCUUGAGAGUUACUAAUGUGAGGUAGAGCGACUGAUAAGAUGCGAGGGCUUCACCGCCUAUCAAGUCUUGAUAAACUCCGAAUGCGCAUUAGUUCUAUCUCAGGAGUGAGGGCAUGGGUGCUAAGGUCCAUGUCCUAAAGGAGAAGAAUCCAGACCAUCAGCUAAGGUCCCCAAAUAAACACUAAGUUGAACUAACGAAGUCAGAUUGCUAAGACAGCUAGGAUGUUGGCUUGGAAGCAGCCAUUCAUUUAAAGAGUGCGUAACAGCUCACUAGUCGAGGAGUUUGGCGUGGAUAAUAAUCGGGCAUNAAGCGUGAGCUUUACUGGAGCGUGUGGAAAAGCAAAUGUAGGUAUAAGUAACGAUAAAGGGGGUGAGAAACCCCCUCGCCGCAAGACUAAGGUUUCCUGAUCAACGCUAAUCGGAUCAGGGUUAGUCGGGUCCUAAGGCUCAGCCGAACGGUGAGGCCGAUGGCAGAACAGGUUAAUAUUCCUGUACUACCUAUAAGAGUGAUGUGGAGACGGAGGAGUGACAACGCCGCGGACUGACGGAAUAGUCCGUUAAAGGGUGUAGAUGUUGAUUAUCCCAGGCAAAUCCGGGAUAAGAGUCGAACCUGACAGUAUACCAAUUUCCCCGGAAAACGGUAAUAGUGCGUGUAAACAUACUCCCAAGAAAAUCCGCUAAACUUAAUCUUACAGGUACCCGUACCGUAAACGGACACACGUAGUCGGGUUGAAUAUACUCAGGCGCUUGAGUGAAUCACGGUUAAGGAACUAGGCAAAUUGACCCUGUAACUUCGGGAUAAAGGGUCCCUACCCGGUGACGGGAGGGCGCAGAGAAUAGGUCCAGGCAACUGUUUAACAAAAACACAGGGCUGUGCAAAAUUGAAAGAUCACGUAUACAGCCUGACACCUGCCCGGUGCUGGAAGGUUAAGAGGAGAUGUCAUCGCAAGAGAAGCAUUGAAUUGAAGCCCCAGUAAACGGCGGCCGUAACUAUAACGGUCCUAAGGUAGCGAAAUUCCUUGUCGGGUAAGUUCCGACCUGCACGAAUGGUGUAAUGAUCUGGACACUGUCUCAACCGUGAGCUCAGUGAAAUUGUAGUAUCGGUGAAGAUGCCGAUUACCCGCGAUGGGACGAAAAGACCCCGUGAACCUUUACUAUAGCUUAACAUUGAAUUUGGGUAAUUGAUGUGUAGGAUAGGCCGGAGACUUUGAAGCAGGCACGCCAGUGUUUGUGGAGUCGCUGUUGAAAUACGGCCCUUUGGUUAUUUGAGUUCUAACUCGCUGGUGCGAGGACACUGUUUGGUGGGUAGUUUGACUGGGGUGGUCGCCUCCAAAAGCGUAACGGAGGCUUCUAAAGGUGCCCUCACGCCGAUUGGUAACCGGCGGUAGAGUGUAAUGGCAUAAGGGCGCUUGACUGGGAGACUUACAAGUCGAUCAGGUAGGAAACUAGAGCAUAGUGAUCCGGUGUUUCCGUAUGGAAGGGACAUCGCUCAAAGGAUAAAAGGUACUCCGGGGAUAACAGGCUGAUCCCUCCCAAGAGCUCAUAUCGACGGAGGGGUUUGGCACCUCGAUGUCGGCUCGUCACAUCCUGGGGCUGGAGAAGGUCCCAAGGGUUGGGCUGUUCGCCCAUUAAAGUGGCACGCGAGCUGGGUUCAGAACGUCGUGAGACAGUUCGGUCUCUAUCUAUCGUGGGCGUAUGAAAUUUGCGUGGCUCUGACACUAGUACGAGAGGACCGUGUUGGACUGACCUCUGGUUUACCGGUUGUGCCGCCAGGUGCAUUGCCGGGUAUCUAAGUCGGGAUUGGAUAAGUGCUGAAAGCAUCUAAGUACGAAGCCAGCCACAAGAUUAGAUUUCUUUUUAGGGUCGUUGUAGACUACAACGUUGAUAGGACGCAGGUGUACAGGUGGUAACAUCACAGCCGAGCGUUACUAAUUGCCCGAUGACUUUCUUUU
This 2820-nucleotide ribosomal RNA is filed under the name Bacteroides fragilis. Its description in RNAcentral is "23S ribosomal RNA". It matches the Rfam family "Bacterial large subunit ribosomal RNA". The record is from RNAcentral. Lineage: Bacteria; Pseudomonadati; Bacteroidota; Bacteroidia; Bacteroidales; Bacteroidaceae.